This 282-nucleotide ribosomal RNA is filed under the name uncultured archaeon. Its description in RNAcentral is "partial 16S ribosomal RNA". It matches the Rfam family "Archaeal small subunit ribosomal RNA", at positions 347 to 631 of the family's 1478-position model. The record is from RNAcentral.
AAUUUGCAAUGCGAGAAACCKUGACAAAGGAACUCUGAGUGCCMGUUAAAUCGGGCUGUCCAUCGGUUUAAAUAACCGGUGAAGAAAGGGCCGGGCAAGACCGGUGCCAGCCGCCGCGGUAAUACCGGCGGCUCGAGUGGUGGCCACUAUUACUGGGCUUAAAGCGUUCGUAGCUGGUUUGUUAAGUCUCUGGGGAAAUCUUCCGGCUUAACCGGAAGGCGUCUCAGGGAUACUGGCUGCACUAGGGACCGGGUAGAGGUGAGUGGUACUUCAKGGGUAGGA